Molecule: ribosomal RNA, 1007 nt
Filed under: Paraburkholderia ginsengiterrae
Lineage: Bacteria; Pseudomonadati; Pseudomonadota; Betaproteobacteria; Burkholderiales; Burkholderiaceae
Description: bacterial SSU rRNA
Rfam family: Bacterial small subunit ribosomal RNA
Source: RNAcentral
AGUCGAACGGCAGCACGGGGGCAAYCCUGGUGGCGAGUGGCGAACGGGUGAGUAAUACAUCGGAACGUGUCCUGUAGUGGGGGAUAGCCCGGCGAAAGCCGGAUUAAUACCGCAUACGCUCUACGGAGGAAAGGGGGGGAUCUUAGGACCUCCCGCUACAGGGGCGGCCGAUGGCAGAUUAGCUAGUUGGUGGGGUAAAGGCCUACCAAGGCGACGAUCUGUAGCUGGUCUGAGAGGACGACCAGCCACACUGGGACUGAGACACGGCCCAGACUCCUACGGGAGGCAGCAGUGGGGAAUUUUGGACAAUGGGCGCAAGCCUGAUCCAGCAAUGCCGCGUGUGUGAAGAAGGCCUUCGGGUUGUAAAGCACUUUUGUCCGGAAAGAAAACGCUCUGGUUAAUACCCGGGGCGGAUGACGGUACCGGAAGAAUAAGCACCGGCUAACUACGUGCCAGCAGCCGCGGUAAUACGUAGGGUGCAAGCGUUAAUCGGAAUUACUGGGCGUAAAGCGUGCGCAGGCGGUCCGCUAAGACAGAUGUGAAAUCCCCGGGCUUAACCUGGGAACUGCAUUUGUGACUGGCGGGCUAGAGUAUGGCAGAGGGGGGUAGAAUUCCACGUGUAGCAGUGAAAUGCGUAGAGAUGUGGAGGAAUACCGAUGGCGAAGGCAGCCCCCUGGGCCAAUACUGACGCUCAUGCACGAAAGCGUGGGGAGCAAACAGGAUUAGAUACCCUGGUAGUCCACGCCCUAAACGAUGUCAACUAGUUGUCGGGUCUUCAUUGACUUGGUAACGUAGCUAACGCGUGAAGUUGACCGCCUGGGGAGUACGGUCGCAAGAUUAAAACUCAAAGGAAUUGACGGGGACCCGCACAAGCGGUGGAUGAUGUGGAUUAAUUCGAUGCAACGCGAAAAACCUUACCUACCCUUGACAUGUAUGGAAUCCUGCUGAGAGGUGGGAGUGCCCGAAAGGGAGCCAUAACACAGGUGCUGCAUGGCUGUCGUCAGCUC